AAUCCUUCCUAUUCGGGAAGGAUGAGAAGCUUCGACCAAGGUUCGAUUCGAGCGUUAGCGAGAAAGCGUUGCCGCAGGCAACGACCCGAAGGGCGAAGCGCGCAGCGCUGAGUAAUCCUUCCCCCACCACCA
This 132-nucleotide small RNA is filed under the name Citrobacter freundii. Its description in RNAcentral is "RtT sRNA". It matches the Rfam family "RtT RNA". Rfam says of the family: This family represents a bacterial cis-regulatory element known as RtT RNA. The exact function of RtT is unknown although it is thought that it may be involved in changing the cellular response in relation to amino acid starvation. The record is from RNAcentral. RNAcentral also lists the same sequence under 4 other names. Lineage: Bacteria; Pseudomonadati; Pseudomonadota; Gammaproteobacteria; Enterobacterales; Enterobacteriaceae.